Long non-coding RNA from Trifolium pratense (red clover), 1097 nucleotides. RefSeq lists it as uncharacterized. The record is from RefSeq and is a predicted model, not a curated record. The transcript has 4 exons. NCBI's taxonomy places the organism in Eukaryota, Viridiplantae, Streptophyta, Magnoliopsida, Fabales, Fabaceae.
GUGAAACCUAUCCCCUGCCUUCUUUCUCUUUCUGCGUGAAACACCAGUAACUUUCUCUCAUCCUCAACCUCUCAAAGAUUCUUGUGUUCUUGGUCAAUGCAUGUGAAAUUCUUCAAUAACCCUAAAUACCCAAUAUGUAAAUGAAGGAAAGGAAAAACUCAGCAUCUCUACCCUCUCAAAUAUUUCUCCACCGAACCAUACCCACCCUUUUCUCAAAAAUCAAACCCUUAGGACCCAAUCCUCAAUCCUUCAAAUUGAGUAUUUGCAUGUGUACUAAUCUGCAUAAGAUCAUGUUUUUGGGGGAAAAGAAGAUUAAGGACUGUUUAAGAACAAGUAGAAUUUGGGAGUGAAGAAACUAAAGUGGAGGAGUUGAGAGAAAGCGCAAGAACAAGAUCUAAAUUUAAUGGGUGUCAUCUUUUGUGCAAAGGGGCUGGAAUAUGGGACAAGAACAGACCUUGGAGCUGUAGAGAAUUGAUAGCUUCAAGUUCUUCAUUAAAUUGAGAAAUCCUUACAUGUCUGGAAAGCCGACGAAAUACCUGUCGUCUCGGUGCCAACCACGUAUAAUUUGGAUCAAUAUUGAGGGCUGGAGACGCCUUUGAAGUUGGAGCUCUGAUGCAGAAUUAUGCAGAAAAUUCUGAUUAUGGGUUUAUAGCAUUUCAGUUGCAAAUUAUGCGUUUCGGCGAGCUCUGAAAGUGUCGCUGGUAUUGUUCAAGCUUCUUUUCAGAUAAGCAGGUUGAUCAAGAUAUCAUGGUCUGCAAGCAUGGAGUUCAGAUACUUGGAUUAUGCUAGUUGAGCUGACGUCAUGUUAUCUUAUAAUUGUAUAAGAUUUAGUUUCUUUAUGUUUUCAGUUGUUAGCUCAAUUUAGUAUUAAUCUCUUGGAUUUUGUAAUCCUAUUUAUGUAUUCGGACAAUAUGUAAUGAAAAUUUAAUGUUUCCGAUUCAGUUAUGUACACUCUUAUCGAUAUUCUAGAUAAAUCGAUGUGAGGUGUUAUAAUUGGUAUCAGAGCAGGUCGAUUCAGUAUCGGACCUUGCCGCGGAUCAUUAAAGUUCAAUAAAAGUAGUACGGACCCUUUGGAGUCUGAACUGUUUACGCUGAAA